ACGCUCGACACCUACGGGAGCAGCAGGUGGGGAAUAUUGCACAAUGGGGGAAACCCUGAUGCAGCGACGCCGCGUGAGCGAAGAAGUAUUUCGGUAUGUAAAGCUCUAUCAGCAGGGAAGAAAGUGACGGUACCUGACUAAGAAGCACCGGCUAAAUACGUGCCAGCAGCCGCGGUAAUCUGGAGCGGGGCUGGGCAAGGC
RNAcentral lists this ribosomal RNA (201 nucleotides) under uncultured bacterium. Its description in RNAcentral is "partial 16S ribosomal RNA". It matches the Rfam family "Bacterial small subunit ribosomal RNA", at positions 328 to 538 of the family's 1533-position model. The record is from RNAcentral.